This is a long non-coding RNA of Symphalangus syndactylus (siamang), 267 nucleotides long. RefSeq lists it as uncharacterized. NCBI's taxonomy places the organism in Eukaryota, Metazoa, Chordata, Mammalia, Primates, Hylobatidae. The record is from RefSeq and is a predicted model, not a curated record.
UUCCAGAGACUGGAGGCAUCUCUCUCCAUCUAAGACUGGCCUGCCAUGCUGCCUGCUUAGAAGGACUUUGGAAGCAAGACAGAGCAGUGUCUUCAUCAGAUACCUGACAAGGCAACGGUGGAGCCAAGGGGAGACACUGAAGAAACGCACUGAGAUGACUGCAGGACGAUAACAGUGGCAAGAAGACGGGAGGCAUGAGACAUCAAUCAACAUAUGUAAGAUGAACAUUGGUUCAUUCUGGAAAAGGCGGGACAACUCGAAGCAAAG